Molecule: ribosomal RNA, 253 nt
Filed under: uncultured bacterium
Lineage: Bacteria
Description: partial 16S ribosomal RNA
Rfam family: Bacterial small subunit ribosomal RNA
Source: RNAcentral
GACAGAGGGUGCAAACGUUGUUCGGAAUUACUGGGUGUAAAGCGAGUGUAGGCGGUCUCCUAAGUCGGGUGUGAAAGCCCCGGGCUCAACCCGGGAAGUGCACUCGAAACUGGGAGGCUAGAGUAUCGGAGAGGUUGGUGGAAUUCUCGGUGUAGAGGUGAAAUUCGUAGAUAUCGAGAGGAACACCGGUGGCGAAGGCGGCCAACUGGACGAAUACUGACGCUGAGACUCGAAAGCGUGGGGAGCAAACAGG